UUUUCCAAGUUCUUAGAUCUAGUUUGUUUUCGCCUCUGUUCUUUAUCGUAGGUCUUGGAUUUACAAGACGAAGCAGGAGUGAGGCAAGCUAUCUUCUCCGGCAUUGGAGUGGUGUGGAUUCCGAUUAGCGUGACAGAGGUGGCCCUUUCUUAGAGACGAGAGGCUUCUCUUCCGAUUCUUCCUGGUUAUGGACAUCGACGGAGAUCGGUGGAGUAUUUCUUCGCUCAACUGGUCGGAUAGACGUUGUACCUGCAUGUUGGAAUAUUGAGAUAAAAAGGAAAAACAAAGCAAGAGACAUUUGUCUCUUCUCUUCUAAAGAAGACAAGAACAAAAAUAACCCUUUAUUGAACUGAAACUUGUUGGUGUGUCACUUCCUAUUUGUGACUUUUCAGUGAAACAACACAACUUAUCCAACAAGUAUGAUACAAAACCACACGUGUGAGUAGUCACGUGCGACAUCAAGUGGGAAUUGGGAAAGAAUAAGAGGCGAGCACGUGUCAUCUGCAGAGUGAGGGACUGAAAGAUGCCGUUAGCCGACUAUAUGAGCACUGUUUUAGCUCAUUCCUUUACUUUUAUCGAAUAUCUGUAAUUCCUUAGAAUCUCUGAGAACAUUUUGUGGCUAGAAAUCUCACUUCGAGAUCUAGUGGAUUGUUUGGGUGUUUUAUGAACAUCGAUUCGAUCAUCUUUGUAAUCGGAGGUUACAGAGAAUCAGAAAUUUGCUGUAUUAAAGGUAUCAGAGCCAUUUCUUUCCUCGGAAAACAUGGUUCAAACUCGUUCCCAGGAUGAUUCGAAGGACAAGGGUAAAGAGGUGGAAGGUGCGAAUCCUUUGGAGGAAAGGAUGUUGCGUUUGGAAUCGAUGAUGGAUGCUCACAGUAAGGAGAUGAUGAAACACAUGGCUGAGAUGACGAUGGUGAUGAGUAGAUCCACUGCUCACAAGCUUCGUGAGGAACAUUCGAGUGGAGAGAGGAGCUUACCACGUUCGUCUACCUCGACCGAUGACAGAGUGGGUUAUCAGGAUCAUCGCCGUGACCAGGGACAAGAUCAGGAUCAUCGCCGUGACCAGCAACAAAAUCAGGACCAUCGGCGUGACAAUCGACUAGAUCAGGUCCGUUAUGA
This 1116-nucleotide small RNA is filed under the name Arabidopsis thaliana (thale cress). RNAcentral describes it as "ATSL083020". The record is from RNAcentral. Lineage: Eukaryota; Viridiplantae; Streptophyta; Magnoliopsida; Brassicales; Brassicaceae.